UGUCCUACGGGGGGCAGCAGUGGGGAAUAUUGCACAAUGGGGGAAACCCUGAUGCAGCAACGCCGCGUGAAGGAAGACGGUUUUCGGAUUGUAAACUUCUGUUCUUAGUGAAGAAAAAUGACGGUAGCUAAGGAGCAAGCCACGGCUAACUACGUGCCAGCAGCCGCGGUAAUACGUAGGUGGCAAGCGUUGUCCGGAAUUACUGGGUGUAAAGGGCGUGUAGGCGGGAAAGCAAGGCAGGUGUGAAAACCACGGGCUCAACCUGUGGCCUGCAUUUGAAACUGUUUUUCUUGCGUACUGGAGAG
Molecule: ribosomal RNA, 305 nt
Filed under: uncultured bacterium
Lineage: Bacteria
Description: bacterial SSU rRNA
Rfam family: Bacterial small subunit ribosomal RNA
Source: RNAcentral